This 339-nucleotide long non-coding RNA is filed under the name Elaeis guineensis (African oil palm). Its description in RNAcentral is "long non-coding RNA (EGUI_LNC075628)". The record is from RNAcentral. Lineage: Eukaryota; Viridiplantae; Streptophyta; Magnoliopsida; Arecales; Arecaceae.
AUUCGCAAGGUCUUAAAGCCAACCUCGACUUGCUGGAAGAAAGGCGGGAGGUAGCUCAAGUUCGGAUGGCAGCCUACAGAUAGAAAGUCGCCCGCUAUUACAACUCCCGGGUCAAAAAUAAAGUCUUUAGAGCAGGAGAUCUAGUGCUUCGACGAGCCGCCAUCUCGCAACCUCAGGAUCGAGGGAAGCUUACCCCAAAUUGAGAAGGCCCGUACGAAGUCAAAGAAGUAGUCCAGCCCGAAACUUAUUACCUCAAGGAGCUCGGAGGAGCAGACCUCCCGUGACCAUGGAGCUCGAAAAACUUACGAAUGUAUUACCGAUAACUUUAUUUUAAAUAAA